GUGCCAGCCGCCGCGGUAAUACGUAGGGUGCGAGCGUUAAUCGGAAUUACUGGGCGUAAAGCGUGCGCAGGCGGCUUUGCAAGACAGAUGUGAAAUCCCCGGGCUUAACCUGGGAAUGGCAUUUGGGACUGCAAGGCUUGAGUGCGGCAGAGGAGACUAGAAUUCCUGGUGUAGCAGUGAAAUGCGUAGAUAUCAGGAGGAAUACCGAUGGCGAAGGCAGGUCUCUGGGCCGACACUGACGCUCAUGCACGAAAGCGUGGGGAGCAAACAGGAUUAGAAACCCGUGUAGUCC
RNAcentral lists this ribosomal RNA (292 nucleotides) under uncultured bacterium. RNAcentral's name for it is "partial 16S ribosomal RNA". It matches the Rfam family "Bacterial small subunit ribosomal RNA", at positions 505 to 796 of the family's 1533-position model. The record is from RNAcentral.